GACGAACGCUGGCGGCGUGCCUAAUACAUGCAAGUCGAACGCUAAAGGAGGAGCUUGCUGUUCUGGCUGAGUUGCGAACGGGUGAGUAACGCGUAGGUAACCUGCCUGGUAGUGGGGGAUAACUUUUGGAAACGAUAGCUAAUACCGCAUAACAGUAGAUGUUGCAUGAAAUUUGCUUAAAAGUUGCAAUUGCACCACUACAAGAUGGACCUGCGUUGUUUUAGCUAGGUGGUGGGGUAAAGGCGCACCAAGGCGACGAUACAUAUCCGACGUGAGAGGGUGGACAGCCACACUGGGAAUGAGACAAGGCCCAGACUGCCUCGGGAGGCAGCAAGAGGGAAACAUCGGCAAUUGACGGAAAUCUUACCGCAGAACGCCGCGGUAGGGAAAGAAGGUUUCGGGUCGUAAAAGACGGUUUUAAGGGAAGAACGAGUAGGAGAGUGAAAAGUUCACACUGUGACGGUAUCUGACCAAAAAGCGACGGCUAACUACGUG
Molecule: ribosomal RNA, 495 nt
Filed under: uncultured bacterium
Lineage: Bacteria
Description: partial 16S ribosomal RNA
Rfam family: Bacterial small subunit ribosomal RNA
Source: RNAcentral